Molecule: ribosomal RNA, 497 nt
Filed under: uncultured bacterium
Lineage: Bacteria
Description: partial 16S ribosomal RNA
Rfam family: Bacterial small subunit ribosomal RNA
Source: RNAcentral
GAUGAACGCUGGCGGCGUGCCUAAUACAUGCAAGUCGAGCGAACGGACGAGAAGCUUGCUUCUCUGAUGUUAGCGGCGGACGGGUGAGUAACACGUGGAUAACCUACCUAUAAGACUGGGAUAACUUCGGGAAACCGUAGCUAAUACCGGAUAAUAUUUUGAACCGCAUGGUUCAAAAGUGAAAGACGGUCUUGCUGUCACUUAUAGAUGGAUCCGCGCUGCAUUAGCUAGUUGGUAAGGUAACGGCUUACCAAGGCAACGAUGCAUAGCCGACCUGAGAGGGUGAUCGGCCACACUGGAACUGAGACACGGUCCAGACUCCGACGGGAGGCAGCAGUAGGGAAUCUUCCGCAAUGGGCGAAAGCCUGACGGAGCAACGCCGCGUGAGUGAUGAAGGUCUUCUGAUCGUAAAACUCUGUUAUUAGGGAAGAACAUAUGUGUAAGUAACUGUGCACAUCUUGACGGUACCUAAUCAGAAAGCCACGGCUAACUACGUG